CGUAGGGGGCGAGCGUUGUCCGAAGUUACUGGGCGUAAAGCGCGCGUAGGCGGGGGAUUAAGUGAGAGGUGAAAGGCUGGGGCUCAACCUCAUGCAGUGCCUCUCAUACUGGUCUUCUUGAGGGCGGUAGGGAGAAGUGGAAUGGCUGGUGUAGCGGUGAAAUGCGUAGAUAUCAGUCGGAACACCGGUGGCGAAGGCGGCUUCUUGGGCCGUUCCUGACGCUGAGGCGCGAAAGCUGGGGGAGCGAACGGGAUUAGAUACCCCGGUAGUCCCAGCCUUAAACGAUGGAUACUAGGUGUCGGGGGUAUCGACCCCUCCGGUGCCGCAGCUAACGCAUUAAGUAUCCCGCCUGGGGAGUACGGCCGCAAGGUUG
Molecule: ribosomal RNA, 373 nt
Filed under: uncultured organism
Description: bacterial SSU rRNA
Rfam family: Bacterial small subunit ribosomal RNA
Source: RNAcentral